RNAcentral lists this ribosomal RNA (505 nucleotides) under uncultured soil bacterium. RNAcentral's name for it is "bacterial SSU rRNA". It matches the Rfam family "Bacterial small subunit ribosomal RNA", at positions 26 to 523 of the family's 1533-position model. The record is from RNAcentral.
AGAUUGAACGCUGGCGGCAUGCCUUACACAUGCAAGUCGAACGGCAGCACGGGGCAACCCUGGUGGCGAGUGGCGAACGGGUGAGUAAUGCAUCGGAACGUGCCCAGUAGUGGGGGAUAACUAGUCGAAAGAUUAGCUAAUACCGCAUACGACCUAUGGGUGAAAGCGGGGGAUUCGCAAGAACCUCGCGCUAUCGGAGCGGCCGAUGUCUGAUUAGCUAGUUGGCGGGGUAAAAGCCACCAAGGCUUCGAUCAGUAGCUGGUCUGAGAGGACGACCAGCCACACUGGGACUGAGACACGGCCCAGACUCCUACGGGAGGCAGCAGUGGGAAUUUUGGACAAUGGGCGCAAGCCUGAUCCAGCCAUGCCGCGUGCGGAAGAAGCCUUCGGUUGUAACCGCUUUUGGCUAGGAACGAAACGGCGCGAGCAAAUAUCUCGACGUUAAUAGGACGUUAACCUGACGUAGAAUAAACGGCAACCGGACCUAACACCGUGACCACGCUAA